UACGAAGGGGGCUAGCGUUAUUCGGAAUUAUUGGGCGUAAAGGGCGCGUAGGCGGCCCUGUAAGUCAACGGUGAAAUCCCUCGGCUCAACCGAGGACGUGCCGUUGAUACUGCAGGGCUCGAGGCCGGGAGAGGGUAGUGGAAUUCCCAGUGUAGCGGUGAAAUGCGUAGAUAUCAGGAGGAACACCAAUGGCGAAGGCAGCACUCUGGGACGUGACUGACGCUGAGACGCGAAAGCGUGGGGAGCAAACAGG
Molecule: ribosomal RNA, 253 nt
Filed under: uncultured bacterium
Lineage: Bacteria
Description: partial 16S ribosomal RNA
Rfam family: Bacterial small subunit ribosomal RNA
Source: RNAcentral